RNAcentral lists this ribosomal RNA (228 nucleotides) under uncultured bacterium. RNAcentral describes it as "partial 16S ribosomal RNA". It matches the Rfam family "Bacterial small subunit ribosomal RNA", at positions 103 to 334 of the family's 1533-position model. The record is from RNAcentral.
CGGGUGAGUAAUACAUCGGAACGUGUCUUCUAGUGGGGGAUAACUGCCCGAAAGGGCAGCUAAUACCGCAUGAGACCUGAGGGUGAAAGCGGGGGAUCGCAAGACCUCGCGCUGGAAGAGCGGCCGAUGUCCGACUAGCUAGUUGGUGAGGUAAAGGCUCACCAAGGCGACGAUCGGUAGCUGGUCUGAGAGGACGACCAGCCACACUGGGACUGAGACACGGCCCAG